RNAcentral lists this ribosomal RNA (495 nucleotides) under uncultured bacterium. Its description in RNAcentral is "partial 16S ribosomal RNA". It matches the Rfam family "Bacterial small subunit ribosomal RNA", at positions 29 to 506 of the family's 1533-position model. The record is from RNAcentral.
AUGAACGCUGGCGGCGUGCCUAAUACAUGCCAGUCGAGCGAACAGACGAGGAGCUUGCUCCUCUGACGUUAGCGGCGGACGGGUGAGUAACACGUGGAUAACCUACCUAUAAGACUGGGAUAACUUCGGGAAACCGGAGCUAAUACCGGAUAAUAUAUUGAACCGCAUGGUUCAAUAGUGAAAGACGGUUUUGCUGUCACUUAUAGAUGGAUCCGCGCCGCAUUAGCUAGUUGGUAAGGUAACGGCUUACCAAGGCGACGAUGCGUAGCCGACCUGAGAGGGGGAUCGGCCACACUGGAACUAGGACACGGUCCAGCCUCCUACGGGAGGAAGCAGUAGGGAAUCUUCCGCAAUGGGCGAAAGCCUGACGGAGCAACGCCGCGUGAGUGAUGAAGGUCUUCGGAUCGUAAAACGCUGUUAUUAGGGAAGAACAAAUGUGUAAGUAACUAUGCACGUCUUGACGGUACCUAAUCAGAAAGCCACGGCUAACUACGU